RNAcentral lists this long non-coding RNA (2962 nucleotides) under Sus scrofa (pig). Its description in RNAcentral is "lncRNA (ENSSSCG00030064323.1)". The record is from RNAcentral. Lineage: Eukaryota; Metazoa; Chordata; Mammalia; Artiodactyla; Suidae.
UGUCUUGUUAAAGUGCUUACUUUUCCCAUGAGGGAUUCAGAUAAUUUGUUUUCUCUUUGGUUUGGAUAUUAGGGGUAAUUUCUCCCCUUAAAAAUCGAGUUCUGAAGGAAGUGGCUGUAUUUUUAUCAUUAUCCUAAAAGACUACAGUUCCGAUUGGACCCCUAGCCCUAAAGUGCGGCCCUAAAAAGCCAAAAAAAAAAAAAAAGGCUUUUUUCUUCAGAAUGCUUAGUAGUUGAUUUUGUAGCCUAAACUUUCUAGACUGGUGCAGUGGGGAAAGGAACCAGGAAAGGUAGGGGCUGGGCUUGAUUGAAUUGUUCACCCAUUUGCUGAUGGAGCCAGAAAAAAACCCAUAACAGCAGAUGUACAAAUUUUCAUCUGUAAUAUUUAUUUAAAACAGGUAUGUCUGAGAGUAUAUGCUUGGGUAAAUUAUAUAUUGAAUUCUACUGCUUAGUAUGAUUGUGUUCAACUAGAUGCAUUUAGUAUUAACUGUGAGAUAUGCUGCAGCAAUAAUAAGAAAUGCAGUGGGUGCCUUUCUGCUGUUAUCAAAAUCCAUUAACAAGUUUUGCUGUGCUUGACUGCUCUCCAUUGUUAGGCUUUAUGGUUCAGACUAAAGCUGUAGAUGUAAAUGACAUCCUUUCUACAACACUUUCUCAAGGUCUCACAGACAAUGAUGUUGUAUUUUGAGCAAACAUUUGUUUACUCCAUAGUAAUAGUUGAUGCUAGACAGCUAUGGUUUGCUUUAGUUCUGCCCCUCUGUUUUAUGUAGGAUUUUAGCCAGGUAGAGAAAAGUAGUUGAUAGUAUUCUUUUUUUUUUUUUUCCUUCUUUUUUCUUUCUUUCUUUCCCCCCCCCUUUUUUUUUUUUUUUUUGACCAUACGCACAGCAUAAAGAAGUUGCUGGGCCAGGAAUUGAUCCCGUGCUACAGUUGUGACCUGUGCUGCAACUGCAGCCACGCUGGAUCUUUAACCUGCUGCACCACAUGGGUGUUGGCAGUGUUCUUGAGAUUCUCGAAACUACAGUGACUCCUGACACCCACUCUUCUUUAUUGCUUUAGCUACAGAGAGACAAGAGCUCAGGCCCAGGGAUAACCUUUGGUGUAGAAGAUCCUGUGAAAAGUGGGUAAAGCUGAUUCUUAAGCCACUAAAGCCAAGAAACAAACAAGCAAACCAAAAUUUAGUUUUUGGAGUAGGAGUUUAAAUGUAGGAAAUCUUCUCUUUGCAAGGUGCAAGAUGUUAUGUCAUGAUGUUGAGUGUUUAUUGGUUUUUGUUUGCUUUUUUAAGGGUUGAGAUCUUUUAAGAAUUUUAGAAUCUUCAUUUCUUUAGCUAUUUAAAAAUUUUUUAUUCUUUUGCUUUUUUAGGGCCUCACCUGCAGCAUAUGGAAGCUCCUAGGUUAGGGGUUGAAUCAGAGCUAUAGCUGCCAGUCUGUGUGCUACAGCCACAGCAAUGCAGGAUCCAAGCCAUGUUUGUGACCUUUACCAUAGCUCAUGGCAACGGCUAGAUCCCUGACCCACUGUGUGAAGCUAGGGAUCGAACCCAAAUCCUCAUGGAUACUAGUUGGAUUUGUUUCUGCAGCACCACAAUGGGAACUCCUCUUUAGCUAUUUAAAGAUUUGGAAUAAAGAUUUAGAAACUUUUGGAGUUCCCAUCGUGGCACAGUGAAUAUGAAUCCGACCAGAAACCAUGAGGUUACCGGUUCCAUCCCUGGCUUCACUCAGUGGGUUAAGGAUCCGGCAUUGUCCUGAGCUGUGGUGUAGGUUGCAGAUGCAGCUCGGAUCCCUCGUUGCUGUGGCUGUGGUGUAGGCUGGCAGCUAUAUCUGUGAUUAGACCCUUAGCCUGGGAACCUCUGUAUGCUGUGAGUGCGGCCCUAAAAAGACAAAAAAAAAAAAAAGAUUUAGAAACUUUUUUUGGGGGGGGCAGUAGCAGAUCACUUUAUUAAUCGGAGGAAAACUGUGCACUGCCUUUCCAGAAAAAGACAUGCAUACAUUCACUCAACAAGUUUAUUCAGCAGGUGUAUCAAAUGACUACUACCAGACAUAUUUAAAGAUGUUCAGAAUAUAUCAGUGAACAAAAUAGAAAAAAGAACCCCAGUCCUCCAAAACCUUGUCCCUUGUGGCACUUACAUUUUAGUGGAGUCAGCAAGCACUAAACAUAGUAAGUAGGAACAUUGUGCAGUGUAUGAGGAUGUGGUAAGCACUGUGGAAAAAAUACGAUACAGAAGGGAAGCCUGGUGGUUGUUGCAGUUUAAACAGAAGUUCAGGAUAGGCCUGAUAGGAUGAUAUUUGAGCAAAAGGUUCUAGGUGGUGCUCAAAUUAGUCAUUUGGAGUUCUGGGCUUUGAGCAUGCCAGGCAGAGGGUGGGAGCAAGGAAAACAGCAUGGUUGGAGCCGGACAACAAGGAGAAGGGUGGGUGUUAGUUUUCUGGGGUUGCUGGGUGACUCAGAUCGACAGAAAUGUAUUCUAGGCCAGGAGUCUGAAGCAAAGGUGUGGGCAGAGUUGGUCCCUUCUGGAGGCUGAGUAGUAUUCAUCCCCUGCUUCUCUCCUAGCUUCUGGUGGCUGCCAGCAUCCCUGGGCUUACAGACCAUCACUCCAGUCUCUGCCUCUGGGUUUACUUCUCUGUCUCAUCUCUCUGUACAUGUCAUCAGUUUUAGGACCCACCCCAAAUCCAGGAUGAUCUCAUCUUAAAAUCCUUAGCAGUUGGGAGUUCCCGUCGUGGCUCAGUGGUUAACGAAUCCAACUAGGAACCAUGAGGUUGUGGGUUUGAUCUCUGGCCUCGCUCAGUGGGUUAAGGAUCUGGCAUUGCUGUGAGCUGUGGUGUGGGUCGCAGAUGCAGCUCGGAUCCUGCGUUGCUGUGGCUCUGGUGUAGGCUGAUGGCUACAGCUCUGAUUAGACCCCUAGCCUGGGAACCUCCACGUGCUGUGGGAGCGGCUUGAGAAAAGGCAAAAAGACCAAAAAAAAAAAAAAAAAAAAA